This is a long non-coding RNA of Marmota monax (woodchuck), 279 nucleotides long. RefSeq lists it as uncharacterized. Lineage: Eukaryota; Metazoa; Chordata; Mammalia; Rodentia; Sciuridae. The transcript has 2 exons. The record is from RefSeq and is a predicted model, not a curated record.
GACAGAACCAUGGAGGAGAGGCCCUACGGCCUAGAGAGGCAAAGAUCCAGCGACCCGAGGGGCUGUAGAUGCUGCGUGGGAAGGAAGCGCUUCCGGGGAUGACGGCGGAGAGGGCCGGACUAAGAGUGCGCAGGCGCAGUGCUGGAAUGUGUGGCCUGUCUUGGAGUCCAUCCCCUUGACGGCACAGCUGGGCACACUCCACCCCUAUUUCCUCCCCCACAGGGAAGGCUCUCCCUACCCAAUUCUCCUACAAUGAAAAUACACAGCCUAGACCUUGAA